Molecule: non-coding RNA, 31 nt
Filed under: Mus musculus (house mouse)
Lineage: Eukaryota; Metazoa; Chordata; Mammalia; Rodentia; Muridae
Source: RNAcentral
UGAAAGCCACAGCCGCUCCAGCAUCUCAAUC